UACGGUGGAAUUCAUAGUCGUAGUAGGGGGCCCCUAAGGGGAUUAUUCAGCCGCUAUGUGUCGAAUUCAACCCGUACGCGUUUCAUAGACAAAAGAAACCCCUCAUUUGACAGGAGCUGGCGGCUGACUGCUGAAUUACCGAUAUUUGUCAGCCAAACCAUCCCCUGGCAUUUUUUUUUUGUUGUUAUUCGUGAUUUAUUUAUUAGAAAGUGGACGUUCGGAUCGUUAUAAGUGAAGUUAUAAACAGCGAGUUAUAUCAGUGCCCAAGAUAUAUAUUCGCAAUUGCGUAAACCCAGUAUAAUACUAUGGCGAUAUGGAAUGUACGAAAGAUUCUCAUAUUAGGCAUAAUAUGCCUCUGUUUGAUGAAGAAUGAACACAGAAGACCAAGAGAGGAAUACCAAUACCGCUAGUAUUAUACAUUCUAGCAGCACUUCGAUUCUAUGAAACGGGAUGUUAUCAGACUGUAUGUGCAUUCCAUCAAGCAUUCUAUGAAAUAACAGAAAUGCCACAAGUCAAGCUGUAUUGAUGGCACACAUAGGUAUACAUAUAAACAACCCCGGAGGACCCUAUGCACAGAUUUAAAGAAACCGGCUAUCAUGGCAGGGAAUAGCAGUGAUGAGCUCUGAGAAUACUGUUUUACCAAGAAUACUGAGAAUACUUUGGUCCUUGAAAAUCCGAGUUUUCAGAUCACAGUAAUUGGAAGACCCACAUACCUUGAAAAGUCAGCAGCAUUUAAUAUAGAGGUAGUAGGAGUGAGUGCAGUAUGUUGUAAGGUGGUCACUCACUCUGAAGUCCAUAACAAUAGAAAAUGUAUACAAAUCUUAAUUGAAUGAAAUUUAUUGAUUCACAUCUUUAAUAAAGAUAAUUAUUAAAUGUUUA
Molecule: long non-coding RNA, 879 nt
Organism: Bicyclus anynana (squinting bush brown)
Lineage: Eukaryota; Metazoa; Arthropoda; Insecta; Lepidoptera; Nymphalidae
Exons: 2
Source: RefSeq, a predicted model, not a curated record